CCUACGGGAGGCAGCAGUGGGGGAUAUUGGACAAUGGGGGGAACCCUGAUCCAGCGACGCCGCGUGAGUGAAGAAGUAUUUCGGUAUGUAAAGCUCUGUCAGCAGGGAAGAAAGAAAUGACGGUACCUGACCAAGAAGCCCCGGCUAACUACGUGCCAGCAGCCGCGGUAAUACGUAGGGGGCAAGCGUUAUCCGGAAUUACUGGGUGUAAAGGGAGCGUAGACGGUUAAGUAAGUCUGGAGUGAAAGGCCGGGGCCCAACCCCGGGACUGCUCUGGAAACUAUUGAACUUGAGUGCAGGAGAGGUAAGCGGAAGUCCUAGUGUAGCGGUGAAAUGCGUAGAUAUCAGGAGGAACACCGGCGGCGAAGGCGGCCUGCUGGACUGAAACUGACGUUGAGGCUCGAAAGCGUGGGGAGCAAACAGGAUUAGAUACCCCAGUAGUC
Molecule: ribosomal RNA, 443 nt
Filed under: uncultured bacterium
Lineage: Bacteria
Description: partial 16S ribosomal RNA
Rfam family: Bacterial small subunit ribosomal RNA
Source: RNAcentral